RNAcentral lists this ribosomal RNA (255 nucleotides) under uncultured bacterium. RNAcentral describes it as "partial 16S ribosomal RNA". It matches the Rfam family "Bacterial small subunit ribosomal RNA", at positions 99 to 354 of the family's 1533-position model. The record is from RNAcentral.
CGGACGGGUGAGUAACGCGUGGGUAACCUGCCUCAUACAGGGGGAUAACAGUUAGAAAUGACUGCUAAUACCGCAUAAGCGCACAGAAUUGCAUGAUUCGGUGUGAAAAACUCCGGUGGUAUGAGAUGGACCCGCGUCUGAUUAGCUAGUUGGUGGGGUAAGGGCCUACCAAGGCGACGAUCAGUAGCCGACCUGAGAGGGUGAUCGGCCACAUUGGGACUGAGACACGGCCCAAACUCCUACGGAAGGCAGCAG